UUGCAAUAACUGAGGAAAAUGAAGCACCUAUGGAACUCACCCCUGUGGAAAAGCACAUACUGAAAAUCUCUGGAUUCAGGAUUGGAGCCUGGAGCCUGCAGUUAGAAGACAGACAGUGCCAAAGGGGACAAGGCUUGUGGCAGAAGGGAGUUCCUACAGCUUCAGCUUCUUCAAUACCUCAGCUCUUCUGCCACUGAGGUUGGUAGAGGAAUGCCUUGUGAUACAAGAGUUACCAGAAAGGCCCUCAGCAUCUUCCAACACUGUCUGUCUAGUUCAGAUGUUCUGGUACAGACUCAGCAACUUCUGUGAAGAGAGGGAUCUGUGCCACAUGCCCCAGCCUGGGGCGGCUCUCGGGAAUUGGAGUAGGAGCUGCCAUGCACAGAGCAGCUGAAGAUGCAGUCCUGCUGUUUGAACACCCAGAGACUUUGAAGGCAAAAGAGGUUCUUCCCUGAGGAGCAGAUGCACCCCACCGCUUCUCCAGCUGCGCCGACAGGCAGGACGGAUGCCCACGCAGAUCAGGGUGCUAGGAAUCAGUCCCUGCUAGUUUAUCCAGCAAUAUUUAUCUCUUUGAAUGCCUGAGAAAAUGAAAGUCCUGUAUACAGUACUGAAAACCUCAGCUUUGAUUUGAGCUAUUUGCAAUAUUUUGACAUUUCAGAAGUACUGAUCUAGCUAGUUUCCAUGUGGCUGUUAGUGGAACUCAGAUGGUGAUUGUUUGUUGGGUUAAGAAAAGAGCAGAGAAGUAUCUGCACGUUGUCAGCUCAGUAUUAAUAUAAUUUGUCCUUUUCUUCUGGACUAAAGGAAUGGUUUAGCACAGAGCUCAUAGAGUAGAAAAAUGCCGUUUCAAAGAGCAGUAAACAAAAGAUUUUUGUGAUUCUUACAACUGAGAAAAUAAACAAUGUAGAAACAUCCAAUUCCUCUUUUUAAAAAUAGCUAAUAAUUAAAAGUGAUAAUACAAAUUUUUAGAGUAUGGAAAACACUAGACAAUAACUCUGAAGUGCACACAUUCCUUUUCUCUCCAGGCUAGAAGUAAAUUCAAUUACAAAAAGUAUCCAACAAGGGCUCAAGAAAUAGCAGGAAGGGACUAUCCAUAAAUGAUUUAAAGUUUAAUUAGAUAUAUCCACGAAUGACAAACAGAACAUGGAAAAAAGUCUCAUUGAUAAUGUAUUGGAACAAACAUUGUAAUUUGAACAGAACAAAGUGCAUACUUAGUGUAUAUUGUAUGCUUUUAUUUUAAAGAAAACUUCUGGUAGAGCCUGUUCAGAAUGCUCAAAGCUUGGAACUCAAUGAAUAAACCUCUUAAAACUGAAGUUAUAAAUACAAGAUUUGGAGGAGAGUUAAUGUUAUCCUAUUCAUUGAUAAAAGCAGUUUAGAAAUGCUUGAAAGUUAGUAAGAGCAAUGAAUUCUAGAAACGUCUAAUGGCAACAAAACCUUUUUGUCGAACACUUUCUCACUUUUUCUGCACUUCGCUGUGUUUAUCCUCAUAAAUUUUCUGGUAAUGAGCAUAUUUUACAGUCUGAUCAAUAGUCAGAGAAUCUCUGUUUCAUUCAUUAGAAUCUUCUCCUAAAACCAAACAACACUCCUCCCCUCCAUUUUUAAGCUGGAGUCAGUGCAUGCAAACAGGAUGAGCAAAGCCCUAAAUACAGAUCUCUUCUGGAUUGAGGGUCUCCAAAUACAUGACUUGCAUUCUCCCAGAGGAAUGCCCAGAGCCUAAUGGCUAGCAGCUGAUGUUGCAGAGUUCCAGUCUCAUUGAUAAUCUUUAUGUAAACUGGUAUGUAAAGUGGAACAGUAACAAAACAGAAACUGAGAGUAUCCAGUCUCUGAACUGUCACUCAAUCAUUGGUUUGAUGAGUGCCUCAGCUUUGGAAAUGACAGCUUUGAAUUAUUCUUCUGCUUAAGAAGGCUUCACAUGGAAUCUGGCAGAAAGGUUUCAUACCAUUCUGAUUUUAUCACAGACUGCAGAUGUUUUCUGGCACACAGAGGGUGUAUUGGGUCAGUCACCAACAAUAUACAAGUUCUGAAGAGAAUUUUGCAUUUCUAUAAGGAAGGCUAAAACAUUUGCUUUUUUGCACAGAUUGAAUAAAAGUUUGGUUUUGCUUCCACAAUGAAUAACAAAAUAAUUGGUCCUUGUCAUCUUGGACAAGACUAUGAUGAAAAACAUCAUUACAGUCUGCUUUCAUGGGCUUUCCCUGCUUGCACACUUUUAAGUUUGCUUAGAGAUGCUACAACUGGUUUGAUUUUAUUAAA
This is a long non-coding RNA of Tyto alba (common barn owl), 2244 nucleotides long. RefSeq lists it as uncharacterized. Lineage: Eukaryota; Metazoa; Chordata; Aves; Strigiformes; Tytonidae. The record is from RefSeq and is a predicted model, not a curated record. The transcript has 3 exons.